Molecule: ribosomal RNA, 460 nt
Filed under: uncultured bacterium
Lineage: Bacteria
Description: partial 16S ribosomal RNA
Rfam family: Bacterial small subunit ribosomal RNA
Source: RNAcentral
CCUACGGGAGGCAGCAGUGAGGAAUAUUGGUCAAUGGACGAAAGUCUGAACCAGCCAAGUCGCGUGAAGGAAGACUGCCCUAUGGGUUGUAAACUUCUUUUAUAAGGGAGUAAAACGAGGUACGUGUGCCUGUCUGCAUGUACCUUAUGAAUAAGGAUCGGCUAACUCCGUGCCAGCAGCCGCGGUAAUACGGAGGAUUCGAGCGUUAUCCGGAUUUAUUGGGUUUAAAGGGGGCGUAGAUGGGUUGUUAAGUUAGUGGUGAAAGCUUGCGGCUCAACCGUAAAAUUGCAUUUGAUACUGGCAGUCUUGAGUGCAGUUGAGGUAGGCGGAAUGCGUGGUGUAGCGGUGAAAUGCUUAGAUAUCACGAAGAACACCGAUUGCGAAGGCAGCUUACUAGACUGCCACUGACGUUGAGGCACGAAAGUGUGGGGAGCAAACAGGAUUAGAUACCCGUGUAGUC